Molecule: ribosomal RNA, 497 nt
Filed under: uncultured bacterium
Lineage: Bacteria
Description: partial 16S ribosomal RNA
Rfam family: Bacterial small subunit ribosomal RNA
Source: RNAcentral
GAUGAACGCUGGCGGCGUGCCUAAUACAUGCAAGUCGAGCGAACGGACGAGUAUCUUGCUUCUCUGAUGUUAGCGGCGGCCGGGUGAGUAACACGUGGAUAACCUAUCUAUAAGACUGGUAUCACUUCGGGAAACCGGAGCUAAUACCGUAUCAUAUUUUGAACCGCAUGGUUCAAAAGUGAAAGACGGUCUUGCUGUCACUUAUAGAUGGAUUCACGCUGCAUUAGCUAGUUGGUAAGGUAACGGCGUACCAAGGCAACGAUGCAUAGCCGACCUGGGAGGGUGAUCGGACAAAUUGGAAGUGAGACACGGACCAGAAUCCUACGGGAGGGAGCAGUAGGGAAGCUUUCGCAAUGGGUGCAAGCCUGACGGAGGAAGGCCGCGGGUGUUAUGAAGGUCUUCUGAUCGUAAAACUCUGUGAGCAGGGAAGAACAUAAGGGUAAGUAACCGAGAACAGCGGGACGGUACCCAGUAAGAAAGCCACGGCUAACUAAGUG